ACGCUCGACACCUACGGGAGGUAGCAGUGGGGAAUAUUGGGCAAUGGGCGCAAGCCUGACCCAGCAACGCCGCGUGAAGGAAGAAGGCUUUCGGGUUGUAAACUUCUUUUGUCAGGGAACAGUAGAAGAGGGUACCUGACGAAUAAGCCACGGCUAACUACGUGCCAGCAGCCGCGGUAAUCUGAGGCGGGCUGGCAAGGC
Molecule: ribosomal RNA, 201 nt
Filed under: uncultured bacterium
Lineage: Bacteria
Description: partial 16S ribosomal RNA
Rfam family: Bacterial small subunit ribosomal RNA
Source: RNAcentral